Molecule: non-coding RNA, 22 nt
Filed under: Arabidopsis thaliana (thale cress)
Lineage: Eukaryota; Viridiplantae; Streptophyta; Magnoliopsida; Brassicales; Brassicaceae
Source: RNAcentral
AACCAAAUAGCCUUGGACCAAU